GAAACUAUUUUGGAAGAGGAAAGAAAUAUGCAAAGAGGAUUUUAGAAAGCCAUCUGCAACUGCUAAACUAUUGGAGUUUCAAAUCAACAAAUAGUUUGUCAGGAAAAAUUGUGUGCUUUCCAGAUUACAGAUAUUUCUUGAAAACAGACUGGUUCCUUAGUGUCUAUUUAUGCGGUUUCUACUGGUUUUAUUUUUUUAAUGGAAAACCACUGUGACCCUCUGAGUUAGGAGAGUAAUCCAUCCGGGUGCCAGUAUUUGAGAGCACCGUGAGCACGGUGUGGUCUUAACAAGAGGAAUUUAUGACUUUACAUAUAUGGCUUUAUGUUAUGUCUAUUUCAUGUCUUUGUGGGAAUCCCAUGACGAGUCACUUCGAUAAAGUAAAAAAAAAAAAAAAAAAAAACACAUGUAUUACUAAAAUAAAGUACAAAUAACAGUGACCAACUAAAAACCAUCAUUUAUGUUUUGCAGGCAUGAGUUCUUUUCCGGAGAUCAGAAUUACUUCCAGUGAAUCCCAGAUGUUCCAUAUUGGAUUGUAGAAGAAAGCAAACAUACUGAAGGAAUAGCCACCAUCCCAUAAGGAGCUGCGGGAGGGAUCUCUGGAGAGACAAUGAGAGGCUGGCCCCAUGCAUCCACCAUGGUGAGCACACUACUCGCAGAAAGAAAUCACCAGCUCCAUAUGGGCCAGAAGCUCUACUGUCAUUAUGAAGGUAACUUCUGUUGCCUUUCAGCGAUAGACUAACGCUUUGUUAUAAAGGGAACACAGAGAAAUCUGAUCUGCUACAAAACUAGCAAACUAAAAUUCAUGUCCUGGGACUAAAGAGUAUUUCGCCUCAUUAAAUCUCCCUCAACAAAGAGCCAGAAGGAACCAUCCUCUCAGCUAAAAAUACCGUGAGGAGUUAGUUGCGACACCAGCGCAUCAUUCAGUGGCCGGUGACAGCUAAGCCCCGGAGGAGUUCUGGGUGUACCCUUCAGCAUCAGUGAGUGGAGUGUACCCAAGGACAACCAGACUGGAAAAAGCAGAUGACAAUUUUUAGUUUUUUCUCUCUGCAACCUAAGACUUCGUAUUGGAAGCCACUGACCAACUUCUGGAGUACUGUGGGCUGACAGCGCUUCACUUGCCUCUAUAACUGGGGCUGGCGUUGGUGGCCACAGCAAGCAGCCCAAGAACCUGAGAAUGAAGGGGAUGGAGAUGUCCCCCCUGACGGUUCAACUAAGAAAUCAGCAUAUGUGGAUCAUAGCUGAGAAGUUCCAGUUCCCUCCCUCCAGGGCCUGAACUUCAUGACCAUGGCAUUGAGUCAAGCAGAACGUAAGGACCAUCAGAGCCCAGGGAAGGAGACUCUCUGAGGACAAGGCACACACUGCCCACUGCCCAACUGGGAACUGUCCAGGGGGCAUGGCCACAGUCAAGGACAGAGAGAAAAGGGUUUGUUGGGAAGGCUGCUCAUGGCCAUGGGUGGAACCCAGGUAGAUCUCGGUCCCAGCUUGGCCAUUUCUGGGCUGUGUGACCUUACAC
Molecule: long non-coding RNA, 1513 nt
Filed under: Canis lupus familiaris (dog)
Lineage: Eukaryota; Metazoa; Chordata; Mammalia; Carnivora; Canidae
Description: lncRNA (ENSCAFG00000051675.1)
Source: RNAcentral